GAGGGUAUAGCUCAAGUGUUGGAGUACAUGCUUAGCAUGCAUGAAGUCCUGUGUUCAAUCCCCAGUACUUCCU
This is a non-coding RNA of Camelus ferus (Wild Bactrian camel), 73 nucleotides long. The record is from Rfam. NCBI's taxonomy places the organism in Eukaryota, Metazoa, Chordata, Mammalia, Artiodactyla, Camelidae.